This 496-nucleotide ribosomal RNA is filed under the name uncultured bacterium. RNAcentral describes it as "partial 16S ribosomal RNA". It matches the Rfam family "Bacterial small subunit ribosomal RNA", at positions 29 to 507 of the family's 1533-position model. The record is from RNAcentral.
AUGAACGCUGGCGGCGUGCCUAAUACAUGCAAGUCGAGCGAACAGAUGAGGAGCUUGCUCCUCUGACGUUAGCGGCGGCCGGGUGAGUAACACGUGGAUAACCUACCUAUAAGACUGGGAUAACUUCGGGAAACCGGAGCUAAUACCGGAUAAUAUAUUGAACCGCAUGGUUCAAUAGUGAAAGACGGUUUUGCUGUCACUUAUAGAUGGAUCCGCGCCGCAUUAGCUAGUUGGUAAGGUAACGGCUUACCAAGGCAACGAUUCGUAGCCGACCUGAGAGGGUGAUCGGCCACACUGGAACUGAGACACGGUCCAGACUCCUACGGGAGGCAGCAGUAGGGAAUCUUCCGCAAUGGGCGAAAGCCUGACGGAGCAACGCCGCGUGAGUGGUGAAGGUCUUCGGAUCGUAAAACUCUGUUAUUAGGGAAGAACAAAUGUGUAAGUAACUAUGCACGUCUUGACGGUACCUAAUCAGAAAGCCACGGCUAACUACGUG